This is a long non-coding RNA of Xenia sp. Carnegie-2017, 973 nucleotides long. RefSeq lists it as uncharacterized. The record is from RefSeq and is a predicted model, not a curated record. The transcript has 6 exons. NCBI's taxonomy places the organism in Eukaryota, Metazoa, Cnidaria, Anthozoa, Malacalcyonacea, Xeniidae.
AAUCCGCUUCCCGCCUGGCACUUCCAUGGCAACAAAAGAAUGAAGUUCAUUCGACGAGAAAAACAUGAAAGGAACGAGUUUCAAAAGAAAGAAAAUCAAGUCUUAUCUCGUCAUAAAGAUGUGAAGAAAAUAAGCGAUUUAAUUGUAUUGAGACUUUUGAAAACAACACAAAACAAGGAGGACGAGCAACGCAACGCUGCAGCGAUUGAGAAUUCGACAGUGAAUUGUGACUCUGUGAUGCACGGUUUCGAAGGAUACGACGACACCUGUCACUUCCUCUGUGAUUCAGCAUAUAUGAGAGCCCAUCGAUUCAUCAAAUCACAAAUCACUGACAGUCUUUGGUGGUCGACGAGGAGGUGAAAUUUAUACCAGAAAGAAUACAAAAAUUGAAUACAUCCAGUUGAUGAAUAAUGGCAUACACAGCAUUUAAAAUUCCCGAAGAAAGUCUUUAUGGUGAAUUACCGGAGUCGGCAGCUAAUGGUGAAAACAGCAAAACUUACGACCUGAAGAAGGCUGGAGUGCCCGAUGAGGCCAAAGAAGUUCUUGUUUUUCUUUUUUGCUACUACAAAAGGCUCGGAAGAGUUUCAUCGUUUAUUUUACCAGAUUGAGACUACAGAUGGCAAACACCCUUAUCCUCAAUUCAUGAACGUUGCCGCAAGCAAAGGUGUUUCUCUUAACUCUGCAAACUUAUGGCUACCAUUAUUUCCAGGACAGCAUCAGGUAACGGUGACUUUGAAAGAUGCAGAGGAACACAAAGAAAAGCUAAAAAAGCAUUGCAUACAGGGAAAAAAAAGGAUUUAAUGAGAUAUCGACAUUUAGUGAAUUCUUUGUCCUUGGUUAUCGUUGAUAAAAUGAUCUUGAAAUGUGAUACGACUUCCAUUCUUCAACAUUUUUUUUUUUACACUGUACUAAGUGUUCAACAUUUAAUUUAAGAAACGAAGUAUUGAAUAAAAGCAAAUUAAACCAUUCAAAA